This 442-nucleotide ribosomal RNA is filed under the name uncultured bacterium. RNAcentral's name for it is "partial 16S ribosomal RNA". It matches the Rfam family "Bacterial small subunit ribosomal RNA", at positions 355 to 779 of the family's 1533-position model. The record is from RNAcentral.
UGGGGAAUUUUGGACAAUGGGCGAAAGCCUGAUCCAGCAAUGCCGCGUGUGUGAAGAAGGCCUUCGGGUUGUAAAGCACUUUUGUCCGGAAAGAAAUCCUUGGCUCUAAUACAGUCGGGGGAUGACGGUACCGGGAAAGAAUAAGCACCGGGCUAACUACGUGCCAGCAGCCGCGGUAAUAUGUAGGGUGCAAGCGUUAAUCGGAAUUACUGGGGCGUAAAGCGUGCGCAGGCGGUUUGCUAAGACCGAUGUGAAAUCCCCGGGCUCAACCUGGGAACUGCAUUGGUGACUGGGCAGGCUAGAGUAUGGCAGGAGGGGGGUAGAAUUCCACGUGUGAGCAGUGAAAUGCGUAGGAGAUGGUGGAGGAAUACCGAUGGCGAAGGCAGCCCCCUGGGCCAAUACUGACGCUCAUGCACGAAAGCGUGGGGGAGCAAACAGGAUU